Molecule: ribosomal RNA, 1446 nt
Filed under: uncultured bacterium
Lineage: Bacteria
Description: bacterial SSU rRNA
Rfam family: Bacterial small subunit ribosomal RNA
Source: RNAcentral
AGGGUUUGAUCCUGGCUCAGGAUGAACGCUGGCGGCGUGCUUAACACAUGCAAGUCGAACGAACCUUCGGGUUAGUGGCGGACGGGUGAGUAACGCGUGAGAAUCUGCCCUCAGGAGGGGGAUAACGGUUGGAAACGACCGCUAAUACCCCAUAUGCCUACUGGUGAAACGAAUUUCGCCUGAGGAUGAGCUCGCGUCUGAUUAGCUAGUUGGUGAGGUAAUGGCUCACCAAGGCUUCGAUCAGUAGCUGGUCUGAGAGGAUGAUCAGCCACACUGGGACUGAGACACGGCCCAGACUCCUACGGGAGGCAGCAGUGGGGAAUUUUCCGCAAUGGGCGAAAGCCUGACGGAGCAACGCCGCGUGAGGGACGAAGGCCUCUGGGCUGUAAACCUCUUUUCUCAAGGAAGAAGAUAUGACGGUACUUGAGGAAUAAGCCACGGCUAAUUCCGUGCCAGCAGCCGCGGUAAUACGGGAGUGGCAAGCGUUAUCCGGAAUUAUUGGGCGUAAAGCGUCCGCAGGCGGCUUUUCAAGUCUGCUGUUAAAACGUGGAGCUUAACUCCAUCAUGGCAGUGGAAACUGAAAGGCUUGAGUAUGGUAGGGGCAGAGGGAAUUCCCGGUGUAGCGGUGAAAUGCGUAGAUAUCGGGAAGAACACCAGUGGCGAAGGCGCUCUGCUGGGCCAUUACUGACGCUCAUGGACGAAAGCCAGGGGAGCGAAAGGGAUUAGAUACCCCUGUAGUCCUGGCCGUAAACGAUGAACACUAGGUGUCGGGGGAAUCGACCCCUUCGGUGUCGUAGCUAACGCGUUAAGUGUUCCGCCUGGGGAGUACGCACGCAAGUGUGAAACUCAAGGAAUUGACGGGGCCCGCACAAGCGGUGGAGUAUGUGGUUUAAUUCGAUGCACGCGAAGAACCUUACCAGGGUUUGACAUCCUGCGAACCUCUUAGAAAUUUGAGGGUGCCUUCGGGAAUGCAGUGACAGGUGGUGCAUGGCUGUCGUCAGCUCGUGUCGUGAGAUGUUGGGUUAAGUCCCGCAACGAGCGCAACCCACGUUUUUAGUUGCCAGCAUUUAGUUGGGCACUCUAGAAAGACCGCCGGUGAUAAACCGGAGGAAGGUGUGGAUGACGUCAAGUCAUCAUGCCCCUUACACCCUGGGCUACACACGUACUACAAUGCUACGGACAAAGGGCAGCAAACUCGCGAGAGCUAGCAAAUCCCAUAAACCGUGGCUCAGUUCAGAUCGUAGGCUGCAACUCGCCUACGUGAAGUAGGAAUCGCUAGUAAUCGCAGGUCAGCAUACUGCGGUGAAUACGUUCCCGGGCCUUGUACACACCGCCCGUCACACCAUGGAAGUUGGCCAUGCCCGAAGUCGUUACUCCAACCCUUGUGGAGGAGGACGCCGAAGGUGGGGCUAAUGACUGGGGUGAAGUCGUAACAAGGUAACCGUA